GUCUCGGAUAGCUUAAGGAAAGAGCAGUUGGCGAGAUACCAAAAGAUCUAGGUUCGAGUCCUGGUCUGGGCC
Molecule: transfer RNA, 72 nt
Filed under: Cotesia glomerata
Lineage: Eukaryota; Metazoa; Arthropoda; Insecta; Hymenoptera; Braconidae
Description: tRNA-Ser
Rfam family: tRNA
About the family: Transfer RNA (tRNA) molecules are approximately 80 nucleotides in length. Their secondary structure includes four short double-helical elements and three loops (D, anti-codon, and T loops).
Source: RNAcentral